Molecule: ribosomal RNA, 253 nt
Filed under: uncultured bacterium
Lineage: Bacteria
Description: partial 16S ribosomal RNA
Rfam family: Bacterial small subunit ribosomal RNA
Source: RNAcentral
UACGAAGGGGGCUAGCGUUGUUCGGAUUUACUGGGCGUAAAGCGCCCGUAGGCGGCUUGUUAAGUCAGGGGUGAAAUCCUGGAGCUCAACUCCAGAACUGCCUUUGAUACUGGCAAUCUUGAGUCCGGAAGAGGUGAGUGGAACUCCUAGUGUAGAGGUGGAAUUCGUAGAUAUUAGGAAGAACACCAGGGGCGAAGGCGGCUCACUGGUCCGGUACUGACGCUGAGGUGCGAAAGCGUGGGGAGCAAACAGG